This 119-nucleotide ribosomal RNA is filed under the name Lupinus angustifolius (narrow-leaved blue lupine). Lineage: Eukaryota; Viridiplantae; Streptophyta; Magnoliopsida; Fabales; Fabaceae. The record is from RNAcentral.
AGGUGCGAUCAUAACAGCACGAAUGCGUCGUAUCCCAUCCGAACUCCACAGAUAAGCAUGUUUGGCCAAGAGUAGUACUAGGAUGGGUGACCUCCUAAGAAGUCCUCGUGUUGCACCUC